CUUCCAUCCAGUGGUUGUCAGGGCGUCAAUCAACCAGAGGUGUAGCACUCGUGUGGAGGAGGGAAGGAAUGACACAAACACACAUGGUUUUCCUCCGGAUUCAGAGACAACGAGAGUUAACAUGACUGCAAGAGGGAGCCAGAAUCAUGAAGGUGUUGUUGAAAGCUUGGGGCAUGUGAGGGAAGAGAUGGCAUGCAGCUUUGGGCAUAAACAAACAAACAAACAAACAAACCAACAAACCAACAAACAAACCAACAAACAAACUAACAAAAGGACCAGUUUCCUCUUCAGAUCCCAAACCUCCCUGAGCCCCACACACACCUCACAAACAACUACGCCCAGUAAGACGGAGCCUGGCGCACGGCCUACUGCACUCGCAGAACGACACAACAUGAGCAUAUGCGGGUUCUUGCCUGGUGUUGAAUGUGCCUAGGCCAACGGUUGCAGAGACCAGGGCAACAGCUGAACCGAAGGAGGGGUUUCUGCAUAGCAUCAGCAUAAACAUGCUGCUCAUCCCCAUAGAACAAAACUGAAUAUGCCCAAGGAAACAAUCAUUAGGCAUCCAUCACAUCUAAAGACACACCAGCAAUCCUGUAUUUAAUGUAACCACACAUCACAACUGGCAAUUCUGAGCAAUUACAGUACACUGAUGAUGACUAUACAUUUGUAUUGGAACACAGAACUUUGACUUGGCUAAGGUUUCCACAGGAAUGCAAGAUGAAAGUUAAUUACGAUAGCAAGCUGACAGCAAGCCACAGCAUGCAGAUCUUCAUAGCAGUAAGAUAUUAAUAGCUGAAUACUGAAGGAGGCGCACCAUAUACUGUAUUAGAAGAAAGAGAUCCCCUCACCAUUACAUAUUAUCAUAAAUAAUUAUUUUAAUGUUACGGUGAAAUUCUUACUAUUCCUAUUUUAUACUUCAGUCUGUAGGACCUUUGUUGAGUGAUUGCACCACUACAAAUAAUGUCACAAAUAAAACACAUGUAGCUCCAAAUUAUACAAUGGGACAUUUUUACUUAAACAUGUUUCUAU
Molecule: long non-coding RNA, 1029 nt
Organism: Sardina pilchardus (European sardine)
Lineage: Eukaryota; Metazoa; Chordata; Actinopteri; Clupeiformes; Clupeidae
Exons: 4
Source: RefSeq, a predicted model, not a curated record